Molecule: ribosomal RNA, 119 nt
Organism: Cercocebus atys (sooty mangabey)
Lineage: Eukaryota; Metazoa; Chordata; Mammalia; Primates; Cercopithecidae
Source: Ensembl
AUCUAUGGCCAUACCAACCUGAAUGCACGAGACCUCCUCUGAUCUUGGAAGCUAAGCAGGAUUGGGCCUUGUUAGUACUUGAAUGGGAGACCACCUGGGAAUACUCGGUGCUGUAGGAU